AAGAUUUUAUGUUAUUUAAACAAUUAAUUUUCAAAGUUAAAAAUAUUAAAAAUUUAAUAAAUCUU
This 65-nucleotide transfer RNA is filed under the name Conostigmus sp. MM-2013. RNAcentral describes it as "tRNA-Trp". The record is from RNAcentral. Lineage: Eukaryota; Metazoa; Arthropoda; Insecta; Hymenoptera; Megaspilidae.